This is a non-coding RNA of Phthorimaea operculella (potato tuberworm), 66 nucleotides long. NCBI's taxonomy places the organism in Eukaryota, Metazoa, Arthropoda, Insecta, Lepidoptera, Gelechiidae. The record is from the annotation of a GenBank genome assembly.
ACCGCGGUAGCCCAGUUGGUAGAGUACAGAUGUCGAAGGUCGCAGGUUCAAAUCCUGCCUGCGGUG